GGGCGCUUGGCUCAGUUGGUUAGAGCGUCUCGUUUACACCGAGAAGGUCGGGGGUUCGACUCCCUCAGCGCCCACCA
Molecule: transfer RNA, 77 nt
Filed under: Candidatus Komeilibacteria bacterium CG_4_9_14_0_2_um_filter_36_13
Lineage: Bacteria; Candidatus Komeiliibacteriota
Also listed under: 3 other names
Description: tRNA-Val
Rfam family: tRNA
About the family: Transfer RNA (tRNA) molecules are approximately 80 nucleotides in length. Their secondary structure includes four short double-helical elements and three loops (D, anti-codon, and T loops).
Source: RNAcentral